CUACGGGGCGCAGCAGUGAGGAAUUUUGCGCAAUGGGGGAAACCCUGACGCAGCAACGCCGCGUGAGCGAAGAAGGCCCUCGGGUCGUAAAGCUCUGUCAAGUGGGAAAAAAAUUUUUUGAUCAAUAGUCAAAAGACUUGAUGGUACCACUGGAAGAAGCACCGGCUAACUCCGUGCCAGCAGCCGCGGUAAUACGGAGGGUGCGAGCGUUGUUCGGAUUUACUGGGCGUAAAGAGCGUGUAGGCGGUUUAGCAAGUCAGAUGUGAAAGCCCUGGGCUCAACCCGGGAAGUGCAUUUGAAACUGCUUCACUAGAGUAUGGGAGAGGAGAUUGGAAUUCCUGGUGUAGAGGUGAAAUUCGUAGAUAUCAGGAGGAACACCCGUGGCGAAGGCGAUUCUCUGGACCAAUACUGACGCUGAGACGCGAAAGCGUGGGGAGCAAACAGGAUUAGAUACCCCUGUAGUC
This 464-nucleotide ribosomal RNA is filed under the name uncultured bacterium. RNAcentral describes it as "partial 16S ribosomal RNA". It matches the Rfam family "Bacterial small subunit ribosomal RNA", at positions 339 to 795 of the family's 1533-position model. The record is from RNAcentral.